CCAGGCAGUUGGUUUGGGGA
Molecule: unclassified non-coding RNA, 20 nt
Filed under: Mus musculus (house mouse)
Lineage: Eukaryota; Metazoa; Chordata; Mammalia; Rodentia; Muridae
Description: oocyte_clustered_small_RNA9138
Source: RNAcentral